This 422-nucleotide ribosomal RNA is filed under the name uncultured Flavisolibacter sp. RNAcentral describes it as "bacterial SSU rRNA". It matches the Rfam family "Bacterial small subunit ribosomal RNA", at positions 355 to 774 of the family's 1533-position model. Lineage: Bacteria; Pseudomonadati; Bacteroidota; Chitinophagia; Chitinophagales; Chitinophagaceae. The record is from RNAcentral.
UAAGGAAUAUUGGUCAAUGGACGCAAGUCUGAACCAGCCAUGCCGCGUGAAGGAUGAAGGUCCUCUGGAUUGUAAACUUCUUUUGUAGGGGAAGAAACCCUGGUAUUCCUACCAGGUUGACGGUACCCUAGGAAUAAGCACCGGCUAACUCCGUGCCAGCAGCCGCGGUAAUACGGAGGGUGCAAGCGUUAUCCGGAUUCACUGGGUUUAAAGGGUGCGUAGGAGGAUAGGUAAGUCAGUGGUGAAAUCUCCGGGCUUAACUCGGAAACUGCCGUUGAUACUCUCUGUCUUGAAUCCCGUGGAGGUGAGCGGAAUAUGUCAUGUAGCGGUGAAAUGCUUAGAUAUGACAUAGAACACCAAUUGCGAAGGCAGCUCGCUACACGAAGAUUGACUCUGAGGCACGAAAGCGUGGGGAUCAAACA